GACGAACGCUGGCGGCGUGCUUAACACAUGCAAGUCGAGCGGUAAGGCCUCUUCGGGGGUACACGAGCGGCGCACGGGUGAGUAACACGUGGGUGACCUGCCCUCAGCUCUGGGAUAAGCCUGGGAGACUGGGUCUAAUACCGGAUAUGACCUUUCCUCGCAUGGGGUUUGGUGGAAAGUUUUUUCGGCUGGGGAUGGGCCCGCGGCCUAUCAGCUUGUUGGUGGGGUGAUGGCCUACCAAGGCGACGACGGGUAGCCGGCCUGAGAGGGCGACCGGCCACACUGGGACUGAGACACGGCCCAGACUCCUACGGGAGACAGCAGUGGGGAAUAUUGCGCAAUGGGCGGAAGCCUGACGCAGCGACGCCGCGUGGGGGAUGACGGCCUUCGGGUUGUAAACCUCUUUCGACCCCGACGAAUUUGGACGGUAGGGGUAGAAGAAGCACCGGCCAACUACGUG
RNAcentral lists this ribosomal RNA (460 nucleotides) under uncultured bacterium. RNAcentral's name for it is "partial 16S ribosomal RNA". It matches the Rfam family "Bacterial small subunit ribosomal RNA", at positions 28 to 507 of the family's 1533-position model. The record is from RNAcentral.